This 634-nucleotide ribosomal RNA is filed under the name uncultured bacterium. RNAcentral's name for it is "bacterial SSU rRNA". It matches the Rfam family "Bacterial small subunit ribosomal RNA", at positions 10 to 648 of the family's 1533-position model. The record is from RNAcentral.
AGUUUGAUCCUGGCUCAGAACGAACGCUGGCGGCAGGCUUAACACAUGCAAGUCGAGCGGGCCCUUCGGGGUCAGCGGCAGACGGGUGAGUAACGCGUGGGAACGUACCAUUUGCUACGGAAUAACUCAGGGAAACUUGUGCUAAUACCGUAUGAGCCCCCCUUUAAAAUUUCAGGAAUCAUAAAAUGCCCUGGCAUUUUAUGGGGGGGAAAGAUUUAUCGGCAAAUGAUCGGCCCGCGUUGGAUUAGCUAGUUGGUGGGGUAAAGGCCUACCAAGGCGACGAUCCAUAGCUGGUCUGAGAGGAUGAUCAGCCACACUGGGACUGAGACACGGCCCAGACUCCUACGGGAGGCAGCAGUGGGGAAUAUUGGACAAUGGGCGCAAGCCUGAUCCAGCCAUGCCGCGUGAGUGAUGAAGGCCCUAGGGUUGUAAAGCUCUUUCACCGGUGAAGAUAAUGACGGUAACCGGAGAAGAAGCCCCGGCUAACUUCGUGCCAGCAGCCGCGGUAAUACGAAGGGGGCUAGCGUUGUUCGGAUUUACUGGGCGUAAAGCGCACGUAGGCGGGCUAAUAAGUCANGGGUGAAAUCCCGGGGCUCAACCCCGGAACUGCCUUUGAUACUGUUAGUCUUGAGUA